AUGAGAUUUUUUCAAGGCGUUAAUAAUUCUGGGGU
This 35-nucleotide non-coding RNA is filed under the name Plasmodium falciparum 3D7. Lineage: Eukaryota; Apicomplexa; Aconoidasida; Haemosporida; Plasmodiidae. The record is from RNAcentral.